Molecule: transfer RNA, 72 nt
Filed under: Pangasianodon hypophthalmus (striped catfish)
Lineage: Eukaryota; Metazoa; Chordata; Actinopteri; Siluriformes; Pangasiidae
Rfam family: tRNA
About the family: Transfer RNA (tRNA) molecules are approximately 80 nucleotides in length. Their secondary structure includes four short double-helical elements and three loops (D, anti-codon, and T loops).
Source: Rfam by way of RNAcentral
UCCCUGGAGGACUAGUGGUUAGGCCACAGCGCUCUCACUGCUGCGGCCCGGGUUCAGUUCCUGGCAAGGGAA